RNAcentral lists this ribosomal RNA (468 nucleotides) under uncultured bacterium. RNAcentral's name for it is "partial 16S ribosomal RNA". It matches the Rfam family "Bacterial small subunit ribosomal RNA", at positions 28 to 507 of the family's 1533-position model. The record is from RNAcentral.
GACGAACGCUGGCGGCGUGCUUAACACAUGCAAGUCGAACGGAAAGGCCCUGCUUUUGUGGGGUGCUCGAGUGGCGAACGGGUGAGUAACACGUGAGUAACCUGCCCUUGACUUUGGGAUAACUUCAGGAAACUGGGGCUAAUACCGGAUAGGAGCUCCUGCUGCAUGGUGGGGGUUGGAAAGUUUCGGCGGUUGGGGAUGGACUCGCGGCUUAUCAGCUUGUUGGUGGGGUAGUGGCUUACCAAGGCUUUGACGGGUAGCCGGCCUGAGAGGGUGACCGGCCACAUUGGGACUGAGGUACGGCCCAGACUCCUACGGGAGGCAGCAGUGGGGAGUAUUGCACAAUGGGCGGAAGCCUGAUGCAGCAACGCCGCGUGCGGGAUGGCGGCCUUCGGGUUGUAAACCGCUUUCGCCUGUGACGAAGCGUGAGUGACGGUAAUGGGUAAAGAAGCACCGGCUAACUACGUG